AGUGAACGCUGGCGGCGUGCCUAACACAUGCAAGUCGAACGAUGAUAGGAAGCUUGCUUCCUUGAUUAGUGGCGCACGGGUGAGUAUACCAUAGAUAAUGUACCUCUUAGUUUGGGAUAGCCACUGGAAACGGUGAUUAAUACCAGAUACUCCUUCUCAUUAUAAGAUGAGUCGGGAAAGUUUUUUCGCUAAGAGAUCAGUCUAUGUCCUAUCAGCUAGUUGGUGAGGUAAUGGCUCACCAAGGCUAUGACGGGUAUCUGGUUUGAGAGGAUGAUCAGCCACACGGGAACUGAGACACGGUCCCGACUCCUACGGGAGCUG
Molecule: ribosomal RNA, 321 nt
Filed under: uncultured Pseudomonadota bacterium
Lineage: Bacteria; Pseudomonadati; Pseudomonadota
Description: bacterial SSU rRNA
Rfam family: Bacterial small subunit ribosomal RNA
Source: RNAcentral